AUCACAAAACAGCAUAAUCUCAAAUGACCUGUCCACCUGAAACGUUUAGCUUGAAGUAUGGCCACCUUUCUGUCUCGCUUGGUAUGGAGAUAUGGGUAAUUGGGUAGAGCCCUCUUAGUGUUACAGUUUUAAGCCUAUUAUGUCAAUUGAGGUAAAGCUUCCAGUUAAAUGAAUUACACCCCCACGGCAUUGUCGCACCUCUCUAGAUUAGUCACGGACCACGGUUAAUGUUUUCUUGGGCCUCCGUAACGAAACGCCACAGAUAUAAAUGCGCACCUGGUGACGUCUUGUUGCCAAAGGAGAACGGGCAAGGGGAACGAACGCCUUUACAGAGCAAAGGGGCGAAGACGAACUACACAUGAAAAUGAUUUCAAAUAUCACAUUUGGCUGUUUAUCCGCGCUUGUACUUCUGAAGUUGGUAGGAGCCAACCCCGUGUCCAACCUGCAGAGGGUGAUACGGCUUCUGGAGGAGGAAAGAAAUUUACCAUAUAACGUGUCGGAGGAAUGGGAUGUGGAUGGGAAAGAAUUGAAUACAGAGAAGGCAGCCUUCACCGCGGGAGUGGUGCGUCCUUGGGACUCCGAAGACGCAAGGAAUUCCGCGCUGGCGGGAAAGGAGAAUGCAAUUGCGCGUCUUCUCAAUUACAUUCUGAAGACCCCCAAGCACCCGUGGAGCCGGUUCAAGAAGGGUGGAAUGAGAAGCUGCUUCGGCGUCAGGCUAGAGAGAAUUGGGUCAUUCAGCGGGCUUGGAUGCUAAAGGACAGGUUUUACUGGCUGUUGAUCAGAGCCCAAGAAACUACCCUUACUUGAACUAUUCGACAAGGAUGAACCUCUUCAACUCAGAAAGUAUUGACAGAGUUUACAAUGGCGUUUGUGAUGAGAUUUAUUUAAAUAUGUGGUUUGCAUUUGGCAUAUUGAAUUGUUCUUAUUUUAAAACUGUACAGACGAAUUUUAAUUUUCAAAUGAACAUCAAACAUUUGGCUCUUGAUAUAUGUUAUUGUUGUAGGCUAUGUAUUUAUCUAGGUCUAUUUAUUUUCUUGAGAAAAAAAACAUGUAUACUAAGAGACAGUAGAUUGCACGGUGAAAUAAAUAUUUUGCAUAAUA
Oncorhynchus kisutch (coho salmon) is the source of this 1101-nucleotide long non-coding RNA. RefSeq lists it as uncharacterized. The transcript is spliced from 3 exons. Lineage: Eukaryota; Metazoa; Chordata; Actinopteri; Salmoniformes; Salmonidae. The record is from RefSeq and is a predicted model, not a curated record.